RNAcentral lists this long non-coding RNA (1418 nucleotides) under Falco tinnunculus (common kestrel). Its description in RNAcentral is "lncRNA (ENSFTIG00000000980.1)". Lineage: Eukaryota; Metazoa; Chordata; Aves; Falconiformes; Falconidae. The record is from RNAcentral.
GGCAUUAUUUCCACUGCAGCACGGUUGCUGAGUGGGGUGCAUUCCCGCCCUGAGCCUUCAUGCCCACCAGCCGUGGCACGAACAGAGGCUGAGGGUGGUUUGUAAUGCUGGGCUGUACGCUGCCUGCAGAAUCAGUGUGGGCAGCGCUGAUCAGUGCUGCCUGUCCUGGUGAGGAGGGUGCUGACUACAGAAGAAAUGGUAGAAUGCGGAUUGUCUGUUCUAGCUCCCUGUGUUCAUGCAGAGAAAAUUGAAAUCUAGCCUUCUCCUCCACGGUGAAAAAGCAGUUCUCAAUGGUAUCUGUAUUUUUUUGUCUUUUUUCUCCUCGGAGUAUGUAGUGUAGUUGAUCCCCAGAAACUUCUUAGGGGCAAUUAAAGUGAGUCAGACUGUGGGAGAAUUUGUUGUGCUGAACCUUGUAUUUCUCUUUCUACCCAGCUGAGUCAGAGGAACUGAUUAGUGAAGAGUCUGAAGACAUUUCGGAAGCAGUUAGAAAGUGAAGCAGGAAAGCUUGAGACAACAAAAUAUGCCUUUAUUCCAAAGACCUUCAAAAUGCCUUCAGAGUACCAUUUGUUUGUGGAAGAGUUUAGCAAGAAUCUGGCAUCGCUUGCAUUAUGAAACCCAAAUCACAACAAUACAACGUGAUGCUGAAAAAUGCCUUGCUUCUGCCAGAUGAUUCAAGCCAUUUAACAUCAUGAGUAUCGUGCUGUGGUGCCUAAUUAAAAAUACACCCAUCUGUGAGACCUGCAAGCGAGCAGUCACUUUGCUUCGCGCAGCAGGUCUCGCGAGGAGGCUGGGACAGGAGGAUUCGCCUUACCCUGCAAGUCAGGCCUGUCGGUAAGGGCACACUUGUGAGAAGUGAAUGAGAGGUAAUUAUGCAAACUAACGUGAAUUACAGCCAGGAGGAUAGCAGCUAGUGAUUAUCUAACUCUACAAAUGGGGAUGUGUUAAUUGGCAACAAAAAACCUUAUAUUAAGCUGAUUUUAUGCCCACAACCUCAAUUAACAUGGUAAAUAACCAGAACACAGUAAACAAGGGUAUAUGAAAAACUGUGAUUACUGAAAUUAUACCAACAACUUAAACGAAAUAGUUUGUGGCUGACCUCAAAACUCACAGACAAGUAAAAAUAAACUCCAUGUUACUCCUUCUGUUGGUCUGUGCUCUUGAGCAGCCCUGGUUUGUGAUGUCUCAGGUUGCCUACUCCCACACUCAGAUGCAGUAGUAGGUCAGGACGUGCACAGUGCCAGAUCGUGGGGCUGCAGGAGUCUGGGCCUCCUUUGGAAGGUGCCCUGGGGAGCCUUGCUUCUUGGGUGGCUUAUCUGGGCCACUUGUCACCCCCUUUUCAUACAUCAUGCAGCCUAGGCUGUCUUCAGGAUUUUUCUGCUCUUGCUUGCUAUAGUUCUAUGACAUCUUUCACGACUUCC